This is a long non-coding RNA of Myotis davidii, 4247 nucleotides long. RefSeq lists it as uncharacterized. The transcript has 2 exons. NCBI's taxonomy places the organism in Eukaryota, Metazoa, Chordata, Mammalia, Chiroptera, Vespertilionidae. The record is from RefSeq and is a predicted model, not a curated record.
CUUGACCAGAAUCUAACCCAGGACCCUUAAAUCCACAGGCCAAUGUUCUUUCCACUGAGCCAAACCGGUAGGGCAAUUAAAUACUCUUAGAAGAAAUUGGUCUAAAUUAUGAGUAUCAGGAAGAUGAUCUAUGGAGCUCUCCAUUACCACUCAAGAAUACGGCCUUUAGGCAAAUGACAACUUAUUUAUUCAUCAAAGUGAUAAACUUGAGGUAUUAAAUGGUUAAUAGACAGCUAUACCACUGUGUUUUGGACUCAGCCAUUACAGUCCCUGUGCAAAACUCCACUGACUUUCAGGCACAGACAAAAAUGUUUCAGAAAGGCCUUGAAAGAAGGCCUAUCACCAAGAAGAUAUUGUGCAGGACUCCACACUUAAACAAAAAGAGAAGCUGACUUUUAUGUUGAGUAAGAAAUAGGCAGAAUAUACCAAAAUUUAGAUAAAAUGCUCCAGUAAAAAAUGUGUAAAUGAGUUUAAAAGAAGGGUUUAUUUCAGGGAACAGAGGGGAAUGGGGUUGGGUGGUGGGCGGUAAGAUAAGAAGAAGAGAACUCACUGGAAAUUUUGAAGUAGAUUUUGAGGAGGAGUGAUUCAUUUUUAAAGAUGUGUUUGCAGUUCAGAAGGGCAGGCAGCUUCUGAGCACACAGGAAGUAAGGAAGGCUCCACGCUGAUUACGUGAACCCCAAGGAGAGGAGUGUUUGGAGUCCCACCUGGCCUUACUUCUGUAAGGAGACAGGUGGGGCCUACUCAUGGGGCCAAGGGUGACUACUAAAACAUGUACCAGUACAUUGCUGGGUGCUAGAUGCUGUACCUAGAGGCUGGGGGAAAAGACCAAGCAGAAAUGUUUCCUGUCUUUUAGUCUAGUUUGGGGGUAAGUCUCCUACCUGGAGAAAAUGGGAGGGACUCUGAGGGAGCACAGAGGAGAUGGGGAGAACUGCCACCUCAGGGAGGAAAUAGAAGUUUGAAGAUUGGAGAUAGGAGGAUAGAAGAGAUAUACCUUGCUUAUCUCUUACCUGCUCAAAUCUCCCUGCCCCAAAGGCCACUCCUUUGUCCCAGGCUCUCAAUGUCUUCCAUCUGUAUAACUGCAGGUGAGAAACAUUCCAUUCGCUUCCAUACUUUCAUUCAUAGUCCCUCCUACCUGUCGUUGAUGCUGAUGUCAGGAUGGGUGUUGAUGGAUUCUUCUGUUACUGCCAGGGACCCAAUUCAGGGCUAAGAGGACCAAAACUCCAGCAUAGGAUGCCAAUGCAUAUAACCUUAUGGCUUCAUCCCUGAGGACCUUGAGUGCAUACGUGUGGAGACCCCAGCCCACCCAUCCAAGACCAGUUCUCACCCCUCUCCAUCCUGCAAAUGGCUGCCUCCUCAAAUUUCUGGAACUAGUCUUAUAAGAACUACGAAUUCAACCCAUGAGUUUCCUUCCCCUAUUUUUUGCAUCCCUGGUCUCAGGAAAUAACCACCUAUUAUUAAGAUGCACAGGCCAGAAAUGCAAGUGUUAUUCAUGAUUCCUCUUUGUACCUCAUUCUUUACAUCUAAUUAGUACUUGUAUCUUGUUGAUUCUAAUUUCUAAAUAUUUCUAGAUUCAUUUUCCCCCAUCUCCCUUACUAUGAUAUUAAUUUAGCCCUCUAAUAGGAUUUAUUUAAAGGAUCUGAAUAGUCUCUUAAGAAUUCACUGCUAUAAUGCAUUUUUCACCCUAUUGCAAAAAUGACUGCCCUAAAAUUUAAAUAGUAUCAUGUACUUCCUCUGCUUUUAAUUCUUCACUGGUUCCUUCAUGCUGUUCAUGAUAAAAUCCAGAGUCCUAAACUCAUGGCAAUCUUUCCAUAUCAUGUCCAUUCCAUCUUUGAGCUAAAACAUACCACUCACACCCAUGCUGUAGGGAGUAUUUCCCACAAACUACUCCUUUCUCAUGAAGAUCCUUCUUUCCUCUGGUAUCUGGCUACCUCCAGAUUCAGCCGAUUCCUCAUCUCUGAAAGAGAUGGCCUGACCACCCCAGGCCCGACUGGGAUAGUCUUUGUCAAUGCUUAUUCCAGUAGAAUAUUUUUCACAAACUAUUUUAAUUGUGGGUUUAACUGUAUGCCUUGCUCACUAGUCUGUACUUGCUCCAUGAAGGCAGGGAGCUCACCUUUCAUUUCCUUACCCUCAGCAUUGAGCACUAUGCAUGGCAAUUAGCAGAUAUUCAAUAUAAUUGUGAGGAGUGCCAGGGAAGGUGGUGGGUGAUAUCAAGGGGGUGACAGAGGCCAUCCCCUAUGGUUUAGAGGGAAAUUAGACAAGUGGCUCCAAUGCAGGUACAUCAUGGUUGAUGUUGAGAAAGCCAGGAGGGAAGUUAUCUCUAGGUAACUUGAAAUCUUUUUAGGUUCCUUAAAUUUGGUAAAAGUCAUCUCUGCAAAAAUGUACUUUUUUCUUCUUCAUAAAACUUAGGACAUUCAUAAUUUCCCCGGGAGCCAUUCCAUGGAUUUCUGGAGUGCUCUCUGCCUUACAGCAAUCUGCUCCAGCCCUAAUCCAACUGCCCUCCAUGGGUACGUGUGUUUAAGGAGCAUUUGAGAUGAACUCAAAGGGUGCCUCUUUGCUCCUUCUGUCUUGUGGCUACUCAUGAGGGGUUGAAGUUCACAGAGACUUUUGGAUGAACUCUUCAGGGCUGAGACAAGAGCCACCCCUUAAAAAGUGCUGCUUGUCAAUCCAGUUAACAAAUGAGAUUAACAUCCUCAUCUUAAUGAGUGUCUGGUUCCCAGUCUGUUAUUUCACAGGUUGACACUAGAUGUCAGGGAAAGACUUAGCAUUCUAAUCUGCAGGUCUCAACACCAUCCAGCAGAAAGGAAGGCUGCCUGCUGAGGGAAAUCAGAUAUUGAAAAUUGGCAAAUUUCCCCCUGUGACUACUGGGGGCACCAGGGUUCUUAUGCAAAAACAUCACUACCCUGCACAUGCCCUAUUAGAUAUACCUUUGAUGCUGCUAAAUUCCAUUUACAUGCCCUGGGCAGGUAGCUCUGUUGGUUAGUGUUGUCCCUAUAUGCCAGGAUUGUAGGUUCAACCCCCAGUCACGGCACAUACAAAAAUCAACUAAUGAAUACAUACAUAAGUAGAACAACAAAUCUCUCUCUCUCUCUCUUCCUCUCUCUCUCUAAAAAUCAAUUCAAAAACCCCAUUUAUAGAAUGGUUUAUGUCAAGGUCACUUCAGAGAAUUAGGUUAUUUUGGGAGGGGAGAAAUGAGAAUCACCAAUUUAUUCUUUCAACUUUAUUAUAAAAGACAUUCAAUUUUAUUUAGAACAAAAAAGAAAAGUAGAUAUAGCAUGGUCAUGUUCUUAUAAUCCUUUUUGUUAGUGAAUUAGGAAACAGCCAACCUGAUUAAAAAUUACAUGAAUGUCUCAUAAGAUCAUUCCAAUACUCUGUGGUAGUUUCUUUCAUUUAGUAAAUGAUAUUAACUAAAAAUGUGCUUUUGCUGCAGAAUAACUAAAUCUUGACCUGCUUUAGUUACAUUGAUAGAUUCCCAAGGCUCUCAGCCCCUUAACAGGCUUUCUGAUGUAAUAAAAAGCCAUGUGCUUUUUCAUUACUGUGGAUGGCACAUUCAAAAAAAUUUAUUCCCUCCCACUGUGCCUCUCUCUCUCUUUCUCUCUCAUCCCCCUCUCCCCCCCCCCGCCACCCCACUACUUACCUACCUGAAAGAAGGCAAUGUGAACAAACUGAAAUCAGGCAGGACAGUGUAAAGAACAAAGCCAGAAAAGGGUACAUGAUUUUCCUCAUCAUGCACACCCCUCCCCCAAUUCUAAAGGGUCACCGCCAUAGUCUUCUCAACCAUCCUUGGAAAAUCUGCACGCCCAAGGCUAAAAAUAGCACUCCCCCAGUGGGAAGAGGGCCCACCCAGACAUAGUGUAAUAGUCCCACCCAUGGAAAUACAUCCCAGGAGUCUUCUUGGUAAUUCUGGAAGCCAUUAUAUCAUCAUCAAAAAUAGCAUUUUAAUGUCACAUGGGUGUGUCUUCACUUAUUUGUGAGCUGGAUGUUGGGCAAGGCUCAAGGAACAUGAGAAGAAAAAGACAGAGCUUCUCUGAAGGCUUUCAGUGGAGAUGGGAGGCAAACAGGCCAACAAAUCAUUCUAACGUUCAUGACAGAUAUUGACAAGGAUAUCUGUUGCCACACAGCGAUCUUGACAACCUCUUUCUGUUGGAUAAAAAUUGAUGUGGACCAACAAUCAAAGUAGUUACUCAGUGUAACUCAGAUUAGAAGAUUACUCAGACAGGAAUAAAAAUAUGGAGGGCUGUCAUAUUAUU